Long non-coding RNA from Meleagris gallopavo (turkey), 2624 nucleotides. The record is from Ensembl. NCBI's taxonomy places the organism in Eukaryota, Metazoa, Chordata, Aves, Galliformes, Phasianidae.
UUCCAAAUACACCUGAUUUUUAGAGUAGAUGUAAGAUAGACCUGUGCAUAUUAAGAUGAGCUUGGAGAUUUGAUUUUCUUUGUCUUUCUUACUGUCUUGUCUGAAGAUGUAAUUCUAUGUUAACUUUAAAAUUAUACUAAUAUCUUUCAAGUACAUGAAGUUUAUGAGGAAAUAUAUGUAGAAGAAGAAAUUUCUACUGUUCAUAGAAAAGAGGAGGCUUCGCCACCUGGAGGUAUAUGAACUUCUUGAUCAUCUCUCAUCUGCAAUUUGGUCAUUGAUCAUCUGCAAUUGAUUUUCUGCAAUUUGCAAAUUGAUGACCUUCAAGAAAAAAUUAAUUAUUCAUGUUCAUAGUUUAGAUCUUGUUCAAUAUAAUUAAUAUUUGUGUUUAUUGUUUUUGUUCUUUAUUUGCAUUUAAUACUUGCUUUUUUUUUUGUAUGACUUGUUUUUCUGUUCUAUAAAAAUUCUUAAAAUGAACUAAUAUCUUUAAAGUGCCUGCAGUUGUGAAAAUUGCUCCUGAAGUGCCUAUUGCUGUGCCUAAAAAAACAGAACCUACUCCUGUGUCUAGAAAGCCAGGAUCACCAUCUAAAGUGCCUGAAGUGCCCACAAAAGUUAUUGCUGAAGAGAAGCCUGUCCCUCUGUCUAAAAAGCCAGAAGCUCCACCCACCAAAGGUAUAGGCCAACAUAUCCUUUCUUUCUCCUUUUUCUUCAGCUUUCUUCUGUCUUGUUUUGCUCUUGUCCAAAUGUUGAAAAAUAGUUGAAUUUGGCUAUUUCUUCUACCCAAGAACAAUCCACUGCAGUGGUACAGAAAUUAUCAGAAGGACUAAUAGUAAUAAGAAAAACUUUAGCUGAGUCAAUAGGCAGCAAGAUUUACAAAAUAAACAUUUUCACUUUAUGGAUAUUAAUAUAUAAUAUAUAAAGUAAACAGCUUCAGAAAUUCCACAAUACUCAAGCAAGAAAUCUCUGUUCUCUUUCACAUUGCUCGUGUUAAACUUAUUGAUUAAUUUUUGAAUAGAAAUUGCAUUUAGCUAUUGAAAACAUUAGAAAUAUAGAAAUAUAAUAUAGAAAUGAAAACAUUUCUAACGGUUCAUUCAGGUAUAUUAGAAGGCUGUUUGAAUGAGCAUUUUGUGUCAUAUGUCACUACUGCAUGACAAAAGUCUCCCAGUUAAGCUGCUUCGAACCGUUCUUUGUCAGAGUAGAACAAGUGCAACUGUUUUGAACAUAUAAGUGUUGUCAGACUGUCCUUUCAUAUCUACUUGUUCUAUCUUACUUCCAUGUAUUGUGUGUUUUAUUUUUCUAAUUCCCAAAAGUGCAUAUCUUUAAAGUAUCCAAGCUACCUGAGAAAUCUGUCUCAGAAGAGAAGGUACCUUUUGCUGUACCAAAAAAGACAGGAAUACCACCUAUAGGCUGUGUGUCAACAAUGGUUAAACUCUGAGAAGAUUCCUCUUUCUCUUGGGCAGAGGGCUUUACAUUAAAAUAAAAUUCAUCCUUUCUUCCUUAUUUAUAAGCAUUCCUAUAGUAUGUAGUAAUAUACAACAUUGCACAUCUAAUUUCAGAUCCAUUCUUAAGAAUCAUUCUGCUAUUCUUCUUGUGACACUCUUUCUUCUAAAUAAUUUACGUAUCUUUAAAUGCUUUAAAAAUAACAAAAAUAAAUGCUGCUUUCUUUAAAGUGCCAGAUGUGCCCAAGAAAAUUCCAGAAGAGAAAGUACCCAUCACUGUGCCGAAAAAACCAGAACCAACACCAGCCAAAGGUAUUUUUUAAUAUAUAGAACUAAAGUUUGGAAGAAAAGACCUCUAACAUGAUUGUUUCAAUUGGUUUCUGAUUGUUUUGUUGUGUUGUUCUACUAUAUUUAUUUUCUGUGGUCAUACUUCUAUGUGUGCUACUGCUUUGAAAAAUUCUUUUGAGUAUGAUUAAUGUACCAGUGAGUUAGGAAUAUUCAUAUAAUUGGGCAGUUAUGAGACUGAUUCUUGAGUACCGCUGCAGAAAUCUUUAAGGGAAAGCAGUGCUUCUGUAAUCUGAAAUACUGUUGACUAAAGUAAAAAAAAAAAAAAAUUAGCUCCAGAAGAAUGUUUAAGGACAUCAAAGUACAGAGUGAUAGAGAUGCCUAACACAAGGGAAAAAUCUAUAAUGAUACAGAGACAAAAUCAUCAUGCGUAGAAGAAUAUGACAAAGAAAGCAGAAUGGACAGUGGCAGCCUUAGUCAGAGAUUAGAGAUGCUGUUGACUUAAGUGGAAAAAUUAUUUUAUGCAGAAGAAUGCAUUUAAGUCUGCUACAUCCCCGAUCUCCAUUUGACUAAAGCUUCUAAAGGCUCUGAAAUGCUACCUCAGACUUUACAGGGACACUAAGUACUAACUUUAUUUUAGUAAAAAUGUGAUUCCAUGAAGGCUUUUCCUAAUUUGCAGUUUCUACUUGAAAGUUUUGUACAUAGCUGUAAAAUUCUAUAAAAUAUCUGAAAAUCAUCUCUUUCCUUAAAGAGCCUGAAGUGCCCAAGAAAAUAGAAGAGAAAAUCAAAGUUAUUGAGCCUAAAAAGCCAGAAGUACCACCAGCUAAAGGUACCUGACAUUAAUAAAUAUAUGAAAAUAAUUUUUUUCCUUUCACUGAUAAGAUCUUUUUGAUACUAUUUAUC